AUUGAACGCUGGCGGCAUGCCUUACACAUGCAAGUCGAACGGUAACAGGUCUUCGGGUGCUGACGAGUGGCGAACGGGUGAGUAAUACAUCGGAACGUGCCUAGUAGUGGGGGAUAACUACUCGAAAGAGUGGCUAAUACCGCAUGAGAUCUACGGAUGAAAGCAGGGGAUCGCAAGACCUUGUGCUACUAGAGCGGCCGAUGGCAGAUUAGGUAGUUGGUGGGAUAAAAGCUUACCAAGCCGACGAUCUGUAGCUGGUCUGGGAGGACGAUCAGCCAAACUGGGACUGAGACACGGCCCAGACUCCUACGGGAGGCAGCAGUGGGGAAUUUUGGACAAUGGGCGAAAGCCUGAUCCAGCAAUGCCGCGUGCAGGAUGAAGGCCUUCGGGUUGUAAACUGCUUUUGUACGGAACGAAAAGCCCCGGGUUAAUACCCUGGGGUCAUGACGGUACCGUAAGAAUAAGCACCGGCUAACUACGUGCCAGCCGCCGCAGUAA
Molecule: ribosomal RNA, 498 nt
Filed under: uncultured bacterium
Lineage: Bacteria
Description: partial 16S ribosomal RNA
Rfam family: Bacterial small subunit ribosomal RNA
Source: RNAcentral